This 505-nucleotide ribosomal RNA is filed under the name uncultured bacterium. Its description in RNAcentral is "partial 16S ribosomal RNA". It matches the Rfam family "Bacterial small subunit ribosomal RNA", at positions 28 to 523 of the family's 1533-position model. The record is from RNAcentral.
GGUGAACGCUGGCGGUAGGCCUAACACAUGCAAGUCGAACGGCAGCACAGGAGAGCUUGCUCUCUGGGUGGCGAGUGGCGGACGGGUGAGGAAUACAUCGGAAUCUACUCUGUCGUGGGGGAUAACGUAGGGAAACUUACGCUAAUACCGCAUACGACCUACGGGUGAAAGCAGGGGAUCUUCGGACCUUGCGCGAUUGAAUGAGCCGAUGUCGGAUUAGCUAGUUGGCGGGGUAAAGGCCCACCAAGGCGACGAUCCGUAGCUGGUCUGAGAGGAUGAUCAGCCACACUGGAACUGAGACACGUCCAGACUCCUACGGGAGGCAGCAGUGGGGAAUAUUGGACAAUGGGCGCAAGCCUGAUCCAGCCAUACCGCGUGGGUGAAGAAGGCCUUCGGGUUGUAAAGCCCUUUUGUUGGGAAAGAAAUCCAGCUGGCUAAUACCCGGUUGGGAUGACGGUACCCAAAGAAUAAGCACCGGCUAACUUCGUGCCAGCCGCCGCCGUAA